GACGAACGCUGGCGGCGUGCUUAACACAUGCAAGUCGAACGGAAAGGCCCUGCUUUUGUGGGGUGCUCGAGUGGCGAACGGGUGAGUAACACGUGAGUAACCUGCCCUUGACUUUGGGAUAACUUCAGGAAACUGGGGCUAAUACCGGAUAGGAGCUCCUGCUGCAUGGUGGGGGUUGGAAAGUUUCGGCGGUUGGGGAUGGACUCGCGGCUUAUCAGCUUGUUGGUGGGGUAGUGGCUUACCAAGGCUUUGACGGGUAGCCGGCCUGGGAGGGUGACCGGCCACAGUGGGACUGGGAUACGGCCCAGACUCCUACGGGAGGCAGCAGUGGGGAAUAGUGCACAAUGGGCAGAAGCCUGAUGCAGCAACGCCGCGUGCGGGAUGACGGCCUUCGGGUUGUAAACCGCUUUCGCCUGUGACGAAGCGUGAGUGACGGUAAUGGGUAAAGAAGCACCGGCUAACUACGUG
Molecule: ribosomal RNA, 468 nt
Filed under: uncultured bacterium
Lineage: Bacteria
Description: partial 16S ribosomal RNA
Rfam family: Bacterial small subunit ribosomal RNA
Source: RNAcentral